This 420-nucleotide ribosomal RNA is filed under the name bacterium. Its description in RNAcentral is "partial 16S ribosomal RNA". It matches the Rfam family "Bacterial small subunit ribosomal RNA", at positions 355 to 776 of the family's 1533-position model. RNAcentral also lists the same sequence under 1 other name. The record is from RNAcentral.
UGGGGGAUAUUGCACAAUGGGCGAAAGCCUGAUGCAGCGACGCCGCGUGGGGGAUGAAGGCUUUCGGGUUGUAAACCUCUUUCGCUAUCGAACAAGGCCCGCUUAGGGUGGGUUGAGGGUAUGUGGAGAAGAAGCGCCGGCUAACUACGUGCCAGCAGCCGCGGUAAUACGUAGGGCGCGAGCGUUGUCCGGAAUUAUUGGGCGUAAAGGGCUUGUAGGCGGCUUGUUGCGCCUGCUGUGAAAACGCGGGGCUUAACUUCGCGCGUGCAGUGGGUACGGGCAGGCUUGAGUGUGGUAGGGGUGACUGGAAUUCCAGGUGUAGCGGUGGAAUGCGCAGAUAUCUGGAGGAACACCGAUGGCGAAGGCAGGUCACUGGGCCAUUACUGACGCUGAGGAGCGAAAGCAUGGGUAGCGAACAGG